Mustela lutreola (European mink) is the source of this 2001-nucleotide RNA transcript. RefSeq lists it as uncharacterized. NCBI's taxonomy places the organism in Eukaryota, Metazoa, Chordata, Mammalia, Carnivora, Mustelidae. The record is from RefSeq and is a predicted model, not a curated record. The transcript has 3 exons.
CGGGGACCCCGGGACCCACCCCCUCCGCCGGCGGGCCCCCAGCGUCUGCGAGCGGCGGCACGGCCAGGCCCGGCGGCGGCGGGGCUGGGACGGGAGGAGCCUCCGCCCGGGGAGCACACACUGCGCGGCGCCCGCCCCCCGGCCUGCCCGGCCCCCACUCACCUGCGGACCCGGGCCGCCGCCGCUGCCGCCGCCGGAAGUGCCGCCGGUCCGCGCCUGGCCGCCUUCCCCGGGCCACUUCCGGGACGCUCUAGGCAGCCCGGAGGACUGACUCGGCCUCUCGGUAGUGCGGGCAGCCGGGCGCCGCGGCGCCGGGGGGCGGGGCCCCUGCGCGCGCACCUGCCGACGGGGCGCACCGGCCCGCGGGGCGCACCGGCCCGGGAGUCGCGGGUCUUGUGCGAGUGGAGCCCCGAGCUGAAGGGCGCGGGCGGGACUCCUGCGGUCCCGGGCCAGGGCUGGCAGGAGCGCGGUGAUGCGGCCCCUCGCGUUAGUGAGAUGCGGUGGCCCGAGCGGUUUCCUUCCCGCUGAGAGAAAACGCACUCCCCGGAGAGGGAAAAAGGAAAACCGUCGGGUCCCUGUCCGGCAGGGGCCGGGGCCUUGCUCGCUGCACAUCUGAUGUGCGGGCUUCGGAUGCGGACGCGGGGCCCCUGCUCGGACCUGGGCCGUCCUGGGCUGAGCUCGUCGGGGACCUGGGGAUGCGAUGGAUGUGGUCUGCGUGCGGGGCGGGCGGGAGUCUUUGGAGCCCGGAGUCCAGCCCCGGCGCGGAAGAAGGAGCGCCGGGCGCCGCUCUGGAGAACCUUCCCAGCAUGUCCUGGGCCAGCAGCUCACGCCCAGCCUUUCCAGACCUGAGCUCGGAACACGGCCCAGCGUCGACCCGUCAGCGCACCCCCACCCCGGUCUGAGCCCACGCUGGCAGAGAAGAGAGGGUCAGAAAGAGGAUGAGAAGGAAGAACUUGGGUCUCCUGGGAAUGGCCACUGAUGACUCCACCGCCUCACCCCCCAUUGCACAGGACCCAGGCCACAGCCGCUCCCCACCGCAGCUCCCCAUCCCUGUUCACAACCAGAGUGGCCUUGAGGGUGUCAGUCUGAGCCGAUUAAUGCCCCACUCAUCCCUGGAAUCCCAGUGGGCUCCGCAGAACGGUCCCCAGCAGACCACACCACAUCUGGCUCGAGCUGUCCCCUCCAGGCCCCACACAGGAGCCCCUUCCGGAUGUGCUGUCCCUCAGCCCGCAGACCUCCACUUGAAGGCAAGACCGGAAGCAGCAGAACCACUCACCCAGAUCCUGGAGGCCUCAGGUGGGGAGAUGUCACCAGCCAGUCCCCAGAACAGGGGGGGUUUGGCUCCAGCCUGGGGAUGCUUGUGAAUUCCACAGCCUCUGGCAGAAGGGCCGCAUUGCCCAUGUGGACCAGGUGUCCUGGGCUCCCUGACCUCACUCCAGGACAGAGGAGAGGCGGCUGGAGAUGGGGGACAGCUCUAAGAGGCACCAGCACCGGAAGGGGGCUGGAAUGCAAGGCCAGAGACAGGAGGAGGGAUGGGUUUGGGGCAGAGACACUGAUGGCACGUAGGAUACCUUUGUGAGAACCAGGACGAGGGCCCUUCUCUGGGGUGCAAGGCCCUUCCCAGAAUUCGAGGUGGACAGGCACCCAGGCUGGCAGUAGGCCGAGGGAGCUCGGCCCUGGGGAACCGGGGGUGAGAAGCAGGCUCCCAGGCCCCGGCGUGGAACUCAGUGCCCGCAGGACCCACACACGUGCACACACUCACAGAGCUUACUUGACGCCUGAAUUUCAAGAGCCCAGAAUGGGAGGCCGGGCCCUGAGCAUGCGCUCCCCAGGGGUCCGUGGUCUUGCAGCGUGCAGUUGACCCUCUCGAUUUUACCAAGGCAUUUUUCUCAAGAAGAAGGUCUACAGAAGUAGAAGGUGAAAUCAGCUGUGGUUUUGUAAUUAACUCACCAUCUUUAUUUUUUAAAUUAAUUCUGCCCCAAAUAUGAGAUUCAUCCAGCA